Phacochoerus africanus (Common warthog) is the source of this 2129-nucleotide long non-coding RNA. RefSeq lists it as uncharacterized. The record is from RefSeq and is a predicted model, not a curated record. NCBI's taxonomy places the organism in Eukaryota, Metazoa, Chordata, Mammalia, Artiodactyla, Suidae. The transcript is spliced from 2 exons.
GUCACUCUCCACGAACAUGAUUUCAUGACCCACAGAUGGGAUGAAAGAGUCUGAAAAGGCUGCUGCUUUCAUACACAAAACCUGCUCACUCUUGGCCACCAGUGACCCAGAGCCUCUCCUAAAUGCCUAAUCUACCCAUGUUUCCCCUAGAUCUGCAGGGGCUCCAUCGAAUGCCUAUAAUACCUUUGAUUAGGCAAUGGGCUUCAAGGCUCCCUUCUCACCAUCCCAGCCCUUAGGGCCAUCCCAUUCUUCCUGUCCUUUCCCGAAGCGUUUCUCGAGAUGAACUCAAGGAGCACCCACUAGGAAGUGGAAGAGAAAGAGAAAGCAAAAAGAGCAAGAGUUUCAGUAAACAAGGGAGUGGCAUGGACACACCAAGAGAUCAUUCACCCACUAUUCCUUUGGAGAAGAAUCCCACAGCUUAAAGAUUGGAAGAGAGAUGCUGGCGACGCAGCGUCCCCUACAACACAGAGCUGUCCCAGGAUGAACCACCUUGGAGGGACGGUGGUUGCUCCUUGGGAUCCUUUCUGGUGCCCUUAGUUCUCCCGGAAAGCAAAGCAGAAGGCGACCAGAAGGACUCAUCCACCUCUUGCUACUCACAAGUGAGAAGGAAUUUACUAUCUGUCUCAAGAGCACUGAUUAUGAACCAACUGCCGUCCUGUUGCACUUCCACUCAAGCCUCACAGAUAGCUAUUGUGGAGCCCAUGUUACUGAAGAGGAAAGAAGCACGGGUUAUGUCACUUGCCCAGCAAGGUCACACAGCUGGAGGGAACCAGGUUUUAAGCCCUGGGCUGUCUAGCUUUAUCACCUCACUACACCUGGCAUCAGCUGGGCAGGGGAUCUUUGCAUCUCAUUCGGAACUGAAACCCAGGAAGUUAAACUUGUCACCUCAACCACCAGGCCCACAGGAGUUCGGCAAUGAGGACUCCUCAACCAGUGCUCCUUCCACAAGUAUGGGGGACCCCAGCCAAGUCAGCAAAAAAAAUUCCUGGGCUCUGAGCCCCUCCCCUCUACGCCGGGCCAGCCGCCUGUCAUUUCCUGGGGCAGUGCUUUCCUGCCUUCCACCAAUCCAAACCCAACCCCCAGCGAAGGCCCCACCACAUCCUCAAUCUCUCAGGGAAGCCCAAUCACUAGAACAAUCUUUGUGCCCAACUCCAAGCGGUGUGUCUGCACAACACCACCCUUACCGCCAAGUUAAGGGUUAAUGGGGGGAGUGACUGGCAGACGUGAAACCGACAGUUAUGAUGUAUCCAUGAAAGGUCCCCCUGGGGUAACUCUGGGGGCUGCAAAGGCAGAAGGGGGUUCCUAAUGCCCCACAGCUGUGGCUCCAAGGGGCAUGCCUGCCAGAAGUGAUUUUUCACGGGAAGCUGCAGAAUGAGAAGUCACGCACAGGUAGGGAGAGAGGACUGAUCCAGGCAGAGGACACAAGGGCGUCCAGCCCUCCUACCACCACCCAGGUGAGCGAAUGAAGCCCCAGGAGGUGGAGAGAGCUUCAAAUUGCUGGAGGGAGCUUGAACCUGGAGAGGGCUGCAGGCGGGCAGUGCCCUGGGAGUCUCUUCGUCCAUACCUCGAGGGUAAUGGGAAGGCUAGGAAGGGUUUGCAAGCAGUGUCACGUGGUUGGCUUUGCUCAGGCUGGAUGGGAGGAGGAGGAAGCCGGAAGGAAGAUGAGGAGGAGGUGACAGUAACCGGGCCAGGGUUGUGGGCAGGCGGCAACAGCAGGAAAGAGAGGUGAACGGACGUGAAACAUGUUGAGGAGGUAGAACCACCAGGACUCGGGGACCUGAUGGGUGGCGGAGGAGAGGAAAGAGGCCACGAAUCUUUGCCCCAGCCUCAGGCUGGCUCCUGUGCCAUUAGCCAAGACAAAAGGGAUGCGUUUGGGGGGCUGGGAGGCAGGCUCAGCGGAGGUGUGGGGCUGGGGCCGGGGACGCGCUCACACGUGCUCUACGUCUCCCAGUCUCACCCCUUCCCGUUCUUUCUCCACAGAUACCUUAAUCCACACACCCCGUGCUUAAAACCCUUCAGGGGAGUUUGCGGUCACAUCUCAAAGGCUUGGGGCAAACAAACCAAGCUCCUUAAAAGGCAACCUUUGUAAACCCCUACACCCUCCAAUAAAACGUAGUGUUGGGACAUAC